CUCAACCAUGAAAAUACCUGUUGGAAUGAAAUUUAAAAUUGAAAGCAAUGCAACAAUUCAAGCAGCUGACACUAGAACAGCCUAUUUUACAGGUUAUGAUUUUGUUUACCUGGGCCACCUGACCCUAACUCCAGUUGCUAUACACAACUGAUAACCUCUUUGGGCUGGGUUGUCAGUGAUUUCUGGCUCAGUCAGCAUGAACAUUUAGUGAAUACAGAGGUGCAAUAGGUUGGGAGAGCAACUGAAUUUUUUCAGGAAAUUAACUGAACACCAAGGUACACAUUCCUCUUGCAUAUUUGGAGCACAAAGAAGCUGACCAAAACCCAGUGUGGACAUUAUUUUAGUGGACGUAAAUUAUCUGAACUAUUGAACUGGUAGCUCUUCAAACUCUGACUCAGGAGAGCAGGACAGCCAUUUCAAGAGGAUUCCUAGAGUCUUAAUAUAGAACACCAAACAGUGCAUCAUGGGAAGCGGUGAAGGUCAAGGUCGUGGAGGAGGUCUCUGUCCAGGAUUAUUGUGGGGAUUUCUGUGGUUUCUGAUCCUGUGGUUUCUCGGAUGGCCAAUAGGAUUUUUUGUGGCUUGGUGGUACAUUUUCCUGCUGCCAUUUUCAGCUUGCAUCGAGCCUCUUAAGGGAAUAUGCGAAUCAUUGCUAAAGAUAGUUCAGCUACCACUUACAUGUGCAGAAAACAUGGUGGCCAUGAAACCCCUUUGUGGAGGAUGAAUUAGAGAACUAACUUUUAAUUUAAACCCUAAUUAAGUUAUGUUGAUAGUGAAAUAGACAAUAAACUUUUAAACUAACGCUUACAUGGAUAGUGAAAAAGAAAAUGUACUUUUGGAUUAAACCUUUAUAUUGUUUUUAAAUGCCUGCUUUAUUAAUCUUAGUGCCUUUUAUUUAAUAAAUGUAGAAGUGAAAAUAAUAAAAUUACUUUUUUCCAUAAAAAAUCUUGCUGUUUUGUAAUUUUUAAUAACCAUGAUAGUUGUAUGUUGAAUUCAAUGUAAUAAACCGGUAUCACAUAA
Molecule: long non-coding RNA, 1017 nt
Organism: Dreissena polymorpha
Lineage: Eukaryota; Metazoa; Mollusca; Bivalvia; Myida; Dreissenidae
Exons: 2
Source: RefSeq, a predicted model, not a curated record